AUAUUGCACAAUGGGCGAAAGCCUGAUGCAGCGACGCCGCGUGAGGGAAGACGGUCUUCGGAUUGUAAACCUCUGUCUUUGGGGAAGAAAAUGACGGUACCCAAAGAGGAAGCUCCGGCUAACUACGUGCCAGCAGCCGCGGUAAUACGUAGGGAGCAAGCGUUGUCCGGAAUUACUGGGUGUAAAGGGAGCGUAGGCGGGAUGGCAAGUAGAAUGUUAAAUCCAUCGGCUCAACCGGUGGCUGCGUUCUAAACUGCCGUUCUUGAGUGAAGUAGAGGCAGGCGGAAUUCCUAGUGUAGCGGUGAAAUGCGUAGAUAUUAGGAGGAAAACCAGUGGCGAAGGCGGCCUGCUGGGCUUUAACUGACGCUGAGGCUCGAAAGCGUGGGGAGCAAACAGG
This 397-nucleotide ribosomal RNA is filed under the name uncultured bacterium. Its description in RNAcentral is "bacterial SSU rRNA". It matches the Rfam family "Bacterial small subunit ribosomal RNA", at positions 361 to 776 of the family's 1533-position model. The record is from RNAcentral.